Molecule: transfer RNA, 71 nt
Filed under: Loxodonta africana (African savanna elephant)
Lineage: Eukaryota; Metazoa; Chordata; Mammalia; Proboscidea; Elephantidae
Rfam family: tRNA
About the family: Transfer RNA (tRNA) molecules are approximately 80 nucleotides in length. Their secondary structure includes four short double-helical elements and three loops (D, anti-codon, and T loops).
Source: Rfam by way of RNAcentral
UCAUUGGUGGUUCAGUGGUAGAAUUCUUAUCUUCCACGCGGAAGAUCUGGGUUCAGUUCCCAGCCAAUGUA